GAUUGUUGAAUACACUGUGUAAAUUCCAAUAGAAACAGAAUUUUCUUUAAAACUGUUAAUAAACUCUUGGUCUGAGGAUAGGGAUCUCUAUGAAAGAGCUAGGGGAAAGAUUGAAUGAGCCAAAGAGGAUGUCAACCCCAUAGGAAUAACAAUAUCAACUAAUGUGAACCCUUCAGAGCUUCCAGAGACUAAAUCACCAACCAAAGAGCAUACAUGGGCUGGUCUGUGGACUCCAGCAAAUAUGUAGCAGAGGACUGCCUUGCCUUGACUCAGUGGGAGAAGGUGUGCCUGAUCUUGUAGAAACUUGAUGACCCAGGGAAGGGGAAUGCUGGUAGCAGUGAGGUGGGUGUGGGUGGGUAGAGAGAGCACCCUCAGAAGCAAAGGGGAGGGGGAGAUGGGUGAAGAAUUCGCAGAGGUGGGACUGGGAAGGGGGCACACUUUGGAAUGUAAACAGAUAAAAUGAUUUAAUCAAAAACUAUUAAUAACUUUUCAAAGAUUUUAAUAUGCUAUAAUUAUUCUGGAACCUUGUCUAUUUUCAGGAAAUAAAAUUGCAAUUUUACAUUUAGGAAAACUGUAUGUCUUCAAUUCACUGCUUCUCAACCUGUAGGCCAUGACUUCUUUGAGGACAAACGAUCUAUGUGAGGAGCCGCCCUCACAUUUGCCAUUAUAAGAUGGCACUGACAGCUGUGUUCUAAGUGGUAAACAUAGUCUGCACACAUGCAGGGGCAGUUUUCCCACCAUGUGUUCUGCCUUUCCCGUGAUGACAACUGGGCCGAUGGGCUGCAGCCAAUCAGGGAGUAAUACAUCCUAGGUGGAGGAUAAUUCUCCUUAAAAAGGGAUGGGGUAUCGCCAUUUGCUGGCUUGCUCUCUUGCUUCUUGCGGGCUUGCUCUCUUGCACUCUGGCUCCUGAAGAUGUAAGCAAUAAAGCUUUGCCGCAGAAGAUUCUGGUUUGUUGCGUCUUUCCUGGCCGGUCGUGAGAACGCGUCUAAUAACAAUUGGUGCCGAAACCCGGGACGGGACGAGAAAUUCCGGGACGAGAAAAAAUCCGGGACGAAAAAAUACGAGAAAAAACUCGGGACUGGCGCAAGGAAGAUCCCUCAUUCCAGAACCAGAACUGCGGGUCGCGGUAAUAAAGGUUCCCGUAAAGCAGACUGUUAAGAAGGAUUCAACUGUAUGAAUUCAGAACUUUUCAGCUGGGGAACGAGAGUACCAGUGAGUAUAGCUUUAUGAGGUAAGCCUGGCCUUGAAUUU
This 1251-nucleotide long non-coding RNA is filed under the name Mus musculus (house mouse). Its description in RNAcentral is "long non-coding RNA chr15:24320535-24321786". The record is from RNAcentral. Lineage: Eukaryota; Metazoa; Chordata; Mammalia; Rodentia; Muridae.